ACUAGUCUAAUGGGAGAAGGGUGGCUCUCCCUUUUAAAGUGGCUUCCUCCUCCCAAGUUAAGCGAGGUAGGAUAAUUCUGAGGCUCACACGGUCGCCGUCCGACUACAAUUGGGCCAACUGGGCCGAUUGCGUCUUUGCCAACGGGUAAUAGUGGAGGAUGUCCUCAUCAUUCCUACCUUCUUAAAAUGGGCCCUAGCUCUAAUACCAGAUGAUACACCCAGCCCAGGUGGGGUUGGCCGAGGCCCAACAAAUUAGGGUUUCCCGGAGCCCAACAGUUCAUUAAGCACACCCAACUCAAGGAAAGGCCCAAUCGCCCCAAAAGACUAGUCCAAUGGGAGAAGGGUGGCUCUCCCUUUUAAAGUGGCUUCCUCCUCCCAAGUUAAGCGAGGUGGGAUAAUUCUGAGGCUCACACGGUCGUCGUCCGACUACAUUGGGCCAAUUGGGCCAAUUGUGUCUUUGCCAACGGGUAAUAGUGGAGGAUGUCCUCAUCAUUCCUACCUUCUUAAAAUGGGCCCUAGCUCUGAUACCAGAUGAUACACCUAGCCCAGGUGGGGUUGGCCGAGGCCCAACAAAUUAGGGUUUCCUGGAGCCCAACAGUUCAUUAAGCACACCCAACUCAGGGAAAGGCCCAAUCGCCCCAAAAAGA
This 647-nucleotide long non-coding RNA is filed under the name Zea mays. RNAcentral's name for it is "long non-coding RNA (ZMAY_LNC000264)". Lineage: Eukaryota; Viridiplantae; Streptophyta; Magnoliopsida; Poales; Poaceae. The record is from RNAcentral.